AUGGGGCGCUACUGGGGGCUGUGGGGCACUGGAGCCGUGGGGCAGAGGAGCGAGAGCUCCCCAUCGCGGCUAUGGGGCAGGAGAGGGGUCGCCGUGGGGCAGAGCUGCGGCCACGCGGUCAAGGUGACGUCUCCUUCCGUCUUCCCGUUGGUGGCCUGCGGCAGUGGUCCCACCCCGGUGGUGGCCUGUCUGGUGGGCGGGUACUUCCCCGAGCCGGUGACGGUGACGUGGGACAGCGGGAGUGUCCCCUCGGUCAGCCGGAACUUCCCCGCCGGCCACCUGGCGUCGGGACUCUACAGCUUGGGGAGUCAACUGACGGUCACCUCCGGCAACCCCACCCGUCUGCAGUGCACCGUCCAACACCCGCCCUCCCGCUACAGUCGGACCAUCAACGUCCCAGUUACCGUCCCCGAGGUCCCCACCGUUGGUUUCUUCCACUCUUGCGACAUCUCCUCGGUCCAACUCGUUUGUCUCAUCAACCACUUCUCCCCGGCCACGGUGACGGUGGAGUGGUUGGUCGAUGGCUUCCCGGUCUAUCCCAACCCUCCGUCCGAGCCCGUGGAACCUGAGGCCAGCGGUAGGACCUUCCGGACCAGCUCUCACCUCAACGUCUCCUUGGAGGAGUGGCAGCAGAAGACCUACACCUGCAAGGUCACCCACCCCGCGUCCGGCAUCACGCAGGAGGUCGUCGGCCACAAGUGCUUGACUUCUCCUCCGGACGCCAACAACAUCCAGGUCUUCAUCCUCCCGCCCACCCCCUCGGAACUCUACGUCUCCCAGACUCCCAAGGUCCGUUGCUUGGCCACCAGUUUACCCAGCGACGACGGGCUGGUGGUCACCUGGACCCGGAGACAGGGUGGGACCCUCCGACCCCACCUUCUCGAGCUGAAGGCCCAGUACAACGGGACCUUCACGGCCACCAGCGAGGUGCCCAUCUCCACCCGGGACUGGGAGAACGGCGAGACCUUCACCUGCACCAUCCAGCACAACGACCUGCCCUCCACCCUCAGCAGGAGCAUCAGCAAGAGGCCUGGCAAACGCCUGACGCCCAGCGUCGCCCUGCUGCCCCCGCCCCCCGAGGAGCUGAGCGCCCGUCGCGACACCCUCAGCCUGACCUGCCUGGCGCGCGCCUUCUACCCGGAGGACAUCUCGGUGGAGUGGCAGAAGAACCAGGACGCGGUGGACGCCGGGAGUUACGACGUGACGGCGCCCAUGAAGGAGAAGACGGGCGACGCGUCCUACUUCGUCUACAGCCGGUUGGGCGUGGCGAGGGACGCGUGGCUCCAGGGCAACACCUACGUCUGCAUGGUGGUCCACGAAGCUCUGCCCAUGAAGUUCAUCCAACGUAGCGUCAACAAGCAGCCGGGUAAAAAAUGAGGGUGGUGGCAUCUGACCCGGCUUCGGUAGAGCGACCACCUCCCGAGUUCCCGACGCGGUGGGGAAUAAAGGAGAAGAAGUCAG
Molecule: non-coding RNA, 1461 nt
Organism: Grus americana (Whooping crane)
Lineage: Eukaryota; Metazoa; Chordata; Aves; Gruiformes; Gruidae
Source: the annotation of a RefSeq genome assembly